RNAcentral lists this long non-coding RNA (498 nucleotides) under Pogona vitticeps (central bearded dragon). RNAcentral's name for it is "lncRNA (ENSPVIG00000001947.1)". Lineage: Eukaryota; Metazoa; Chordata; Lepidosauria; Squamata; Agamidae. The record is from RNAcentral.
UGGCAGAACAAGGGGUCUACUGCCAAAGUUAACUCCUCUGACAAUCUAGCUGGGGAGCAAUUACAGCAAGUAAGCAUAAGGGAGAAGAUAUAAAUUAUUGAGUUAUCUCUUGAAAUGAACUCCUCCUGGCUGAACAGACGUCCGACAACUGCAUCUUGUAGGCACACCACAAUGUCUUAUCACAGACCCACUGGGAAACAUGAUGCCUUCAUGAGCUAGAACUCUACUGGAUCCUAAUAGCACCACGUACUUGCUGAAUCAGUAAAUGCAGCACCACCCUCUGAUGAUCUACAGUAGUGGCAUUGCUGUGCAAGUCAGCAUGUCCUUGUUCUAGAACCCGGCAAUCCUGACACAGAAUAUGAGACGCUUGGGUUCUCCUGCUAGGACUUACGGCACCUUAACAUAACUCUCAAAGGUAUUCAACUGCUCUCCCAGUAUUGCAUCCAGAGAGCAUCAGAGGCCGUGGGCUAAUUCACACAGACAUCAUCCUUAAGCUGA